UGGGGAAUUUUGGACAAUGGGCGAAAGCCUGAUCCAGCAAUGCCGCGUGUGUGAAGAAGGCCUUCGGGUUGUAAAGCACUUUUGUCCGGAAAGAAAUCCUUGGCUCUAAUACAGUCGGGGGAUGACGGUACCGGAAGAAUAAGCACCGGCUAACUACGUGCCAGCAGCCGCGGUAAUACGUAGGGUGCAAGCGUUAAUCGGAAUUACUGGGCGUAAAGCGUGCGCAGGCGGUUUGCUAAGACCGAUGUGAAAUCCCCGGGCUCAACCUGGGAACUGCAUUGGUGACUGGCAGGCUAGAGUAUGGCAGAGGGGGGUAGAAUUCCACGUGUAGCAGUGAAAUGCGUAGAGAUGUGGAGGAAUACCGAUGGCGAAGGCAGCCCCCUGGGCCAAUACUGACGCUCAUGCACGAAAGCGUGGGGAGCAAAACAGGAUUAGAUACCCUGGUAGUCCACG
This 453-nucleotide ribosomal RNA is filed under the name uncultured bacterium. Its description in RNAcentral is "partial 16S ribosomal RNA". It matches the Rfam family "Bacterial small subunit ribosomal RNA", at positions 355 to 799 of the family's 1533-position model. The record is from RNAcentral.